CAGUAGCCGCGGUAAUACGAAGGUCCCGAGCGUUGUUCGGAAUCACUGGGCGUAAAGGGAGCGUAGGCGGCGUGGUAAGUCGGAUGUGAAAUCCCGGGGCUCAACCCCGGAACUGCAUCCGAUACUGCCAUGCUAGAGGAUUGGAGAGGUAGCUGGAAUUCUUGGUGUAGCAGUGAAAUGCGUGGAGAUCAAGAGGAACACUCGUGGCGAAAGCGAGCUACUGGACAAUAACUGACGCUGAGGCUCGAAGGCCAGGGUAGCGAAAGGGAUUAGAUACCCCAGUAGUCCCUGUCUCUUAUAC
RNAcentral lists this ribosomal RNA (301 nucleotides) under uncultured bacterium. Its description in RNAcentral is "partial 16S ribosomal RNA". It matches the Rfam family "Bacterial small subunit ribosomal RNA", at positions 509 to 807 of the family's 1533-position model. The record is from RNAcentral.